Molecule: ribosomal RNA, 240 nt
Filed under: uncultured bacterium
Lineage: Bacteria
Description: partial 16S ribosomal RNA
Rfam family: Bacterial small subunit ribosomal RNA
Source: RNAcentral
UGGCGAACGGGUGAGUAACGCGUGAGUAACCUGCCCUAGAGUGGGGGACAACAGUUGGAAACGACUGCUAAUACCGCAUAAGCCCACGGUACCGCAUGGUACUGAGGGAAAAGGAUUUAUUCGCUUUAGGAUGGACUCGCGUCCAAUUAGCUAGUUGGUGAGGUAACGGCCCACCAAGGCGACGAUUGGUAGCCGGACUGAGAGGUUGAACGGCCACAUUGGGACUGAGACACGGCCCAG